CAAGAAUAUGAAGAGAAGGAGGAUGACAGCUUCCUAGAAACGAGAAAAUCCAAGGAUGGAACCUACAGUGUCCUUAUGGACUCAGCAAACCGCAGUUGGCUGGGCAGAAAAAUGAGUGAAAUAGCUAUUAGUAACCUAGUUGAGACGAUCCUCAAUAUUAUGAUCCAUGCUUCCCCACUGAAGUACCAGCGCUGUAUUGGCGCACUAGGGCAGAUCUUUGCGUCUUACCAAGUGUCUCCAUCCCUGCGCUCUGAGACUGCCCACCGUCUGCUGGAUGAUACAACCAAUUCCAACCCACUGAUCCGAGAGCUAGCCUGGGAAGGGCUGAAGCGUCUAGGAAUGGUCACUCAUCUCUUUGCCUUGCCUCUGGCCCAAGGGUUAAUGGAUAAGGAUGAAAGAGUGAGGAAUAAGGCCCUCAACAUCAUGCCUGAGACUGGAAUCCACUCCAGGACCUCACUCUUAAACUUGAUCCAGGGACAAGAGACUUUCCAGGAAAUGAAGCAAGAGAUGAUUGGGGAUGAAUCCCUGGACCACCUGCUGGGGAUGCGGCCCACAGAUCUCCAAAUCCUUUUCUCUCAAGUGCAGCAGCGACUGAAUGAAAACCUGACCUUGUCAAAAGAAGAUAGGGAAUUUUAUUUUUCUUUACAUAUCGCAAGGCCUUCUGUACCUUCUAUACAACCUGCCACUGUUCCUGAAGAAUCUGAUGUCAAGCGCAGCAAAGGGCAAAGACGGGGCCGAGCAGUGGGCAGAAAGCACACGCGAAAAUUGUUGCGAGGUCUCAGAAAGAUGAAAGAGGGAGACUUUAAACAGAUGAGCACAGAGCCGGGCCCAGUAGAAGGUGAAAUUGAUCAGAGUGAAACUGUGCCACCUGAGAUGGAGGACACAACUUUCUCCUCCAGGUUUUCAGUUGGUAGUCUAAAGGGCUCUCAAGAUUAUGAACCUUCAGAGAUACAUGUCUCAGAGGGUCACAUUCCUCUGGCCCAGAAGAUGCUAAAGAAAAUGCCUGAUACAAGAGGUAAGAAAGCUACAGCUCAGAAACCCAUAAAGAAGCAAAAGAAAAGAAAAGAGGAAAAAGUUUUAAUUGAGGAAGCUUUCCCUACUAUAAUAGAAGAACCAAUUAGGACAAAAAUUAAACCUCCGGGGCGGGGUGCUGCUGGAGUGCCUGGCCAUAGGUCUGCAGAUAGCAUCUCAUGGCGGGAUGAUCUAUGUCGUCUUAUGACCCUGAGGAUAUCUGGUUCCCAAACAAAAAUGUCAGAAGAUCUAAACACUGAGUUAGUGACUACGGCUCAGGAGAUUCUGGCAGAUCGGCGCCCCAGCUGGGAACUCUUUCAGGAGAUCUGCCCUGUGUUGAAGAAAGAAAGCAAGGGUAUGCUUGAGGACCUUGCCAAGGAUGUAGCUGAGGACCUUGCCAAGGAUGUAGCUGAGGACCUUGCCAAGGAUGUAGCUGAGGACCUUGACAGGGAUAUAGUUUGGCCAGAGGAGAAACCAAGUUUUAUCCAUGAAGAAGCAAUUAGAGAGGACAUGGUUAUCAGAGACAAGAAAGAGAUACCAGUAGAGCAAGAAGGGCAAGUGCAAAAGGAAGAAAGGGACGUGCAGGGCUUGCAGGAAGUGGUUCCAAAAAAAGGCAAGAAAAAGCAAGUUAUUAUUUUAGAACUAAGUGACCUAACUAAGAAAAAACAAAAGUCAAAGAAGGAAGAAAAGAAAUCUUCCAAGAAGAUAUCUAAGGAAGAGAGGAAAACAGAGCAGGAGGAAAGUACAGUAGGUAAAAAGGGGACGAAAAUGACCAAAGGAGAGAAAGAUGUGAGCAAGAAAGUAGAGGAAAUGACAAAAGCAGAAGAGAAAGUGGUUGAACCAGAAAAAAAGCCAGUUGCUGGAAAGAAAUUGUCUUGGCAGGAGUGGAAGAGCUCACAGGAUCAGUGGAAACAGGCUCACAGUGACAGGAAGAUAUCCUGGGAAGAAUGGAAACAAGACCAGGACAAAAUCCACCUUCAGGAAGAGAAGAAAUUAACCGAGGCUAAAGAAAAGUUAUUUCUAGAGGAAAAAAUGCAGGAGGGGAAGGAAAAGAAGCUGAGUUUGGAUGAGUGGAAAAAGGUCUGGGAAAAUGUACUUUCCUCCAGGCCCAAGGAUGAGAAAGAACUGACUUUAGAAAAAAGGCAACAGCGGGAGGAAGUAGCUAAGGAACUGCAAAGAGAAAGAGAAGACAAAAAAGCAGAGCUGGCCACCACAGAAAAGCAGAGACAGAUCCAGGAAGAGCAGAUAAAGGUCAUGGUACAGAAAAGAGAAGAAGACAAAAAGGAGGAAAGAUUCGCACAAGAAGAGGGAAGGCUGACCCAAGAAUAUGUGAAAAUGUCCCUGAAAGAUGAGAAAAUGGCCCGCAUAGAGAGUAAGUUUGCCCAGAAAGAGGAAAAACUGGCCCAAAAAGAAGAAGAGCUAAGCCACAAAGCAGAGCGAUUGGCCCACAAAAGGAAGAAACUUGCCAAGAAAUUGAAGAAAAUUGCUCAAGAAGAAGAGAAACUAGCAAAGAGAAUAGAGAAAAUUAUUGAGGUAAAAACACUAUUGGUCCAGAAAGCAGAAACACUAAAGCAGAAGGAGCAAAGUCUAGAAUGGCAAGAAAACGAGCUGGCCGAGGAACUAGAGGAGCUGGAAAGGAACCUGAAAGACCUGGCUUCAAAAGAAGUUGAGCUGAACCAGGAACAAGAGAGACUGGUUAAGGCAAAGGAGGAACUGGCUGAGGAAAAGAAGAUACUGGCCUGGCGAGAGGAGAAUCUGGCUAAGAAAGAGAAAUCACUGGCCCAGGAAGAAGAGCUGCUGGUGCAGGAAGAAGAGAAGCUGGCCCAGAACAAGGAAAAAGACCCCAAGGAAGUAAGGAGAUUGGCUCAGAGAAGGCAGAAACUGACAGAGGACAAAGAGAAACUGGCCCAGGAAAGGGAAAAACUGGUCCACAACAAGAAAGAAUUCACACAGAACAAGGAGAGACUAGCCCAAGAGGAAGAGAAUCUGGCUCAGAAAUGGAAGAAUUUGGCUCAGAAAAAGGAAAAACUGGUUCAGAGGAAAGACGAUCUCCACCAUAUCAAAGAAGAACUCCUCCAGGAGAGAGAGCAAUUAGCUCAGGCGAAGAAGAAAAUAGAUAUGUACAAGGAGACACUGGUUCAGGUAGAAGAGAAGCUGAAGCAGGGGAGGGAGGUAGUGGUGAAGAAGAAGGAGAAGCUGGAUGCUAUACAGAAGAAACUGGAUCAAGCAGGUGGGACUCUGGCUAGAAACCAGGAGAAAGUGGCCCAGAAAAAAACAGAAUUAUCUGUGGCAAAGAAGGCAGUGCUCCAAGGAAGGAAAAUGCUCAGAGAUGAGCUGGAUGUUGCUAAGAAAGAAAAGACAUUGAACAUAAAAAGGAAGGUGACAGUACUUCAAAAACUAAUCAGUGAUGAAAGGAAAAUAACCCAGGAAGAAACAAAGAGGACAAAGAUAAAGCGGUCACUUGUUGUCAUGGAGAGCAGACUGAGCAAGGAACAGAGCAGACUUGAUAUCAAAGAGUUGGAUUUUUCUGAGGAAGAAUCAAAAUUGGCCAAAGCUGAAAAGAAACUGGCUGAAAAGCAGAGAGACAUGGCCAAAGAAAUAAGAACUAUUACAGACCAGGAGAAAAAAAUGCCUGAAGAAAAAAGUAAAUUGGCCAAGGAACAGACAGAAGUCAUAGAGGCUGUAGAAAAGGAAGGAGUAAUACAGGAGGAAGAGGAAAUCCUAUCCCUUAAACAAAAGCAGAAAAAGAGAAAAAAAUCAAAAGAAAUUGAUACCCUAAAGAGAAAGCUUCGCAGAAAAGUGGAUGAGAGAGAAAGUGAAAAGAGCAUUUCUAAGAAAAUAGAAAUCCUGCUAGAAGAAGUAGAGCAAGAGAGUUUGUCUGAGGAGGAGGAGGAGGAAGAAGAGGAAGAAGAGGAAGAGGAACAAGUAGAAGAGGAAUUAGAGGAGGAAGAAGAGGAGGAAGAGGAAGAAGAAGAAGAGAAGGAAAAAAAGAGGAAAGAAGAGAAGAGGAAGAAAAGCAAGGUGGAAGAAGAUGAAGGUUUCAAGGAGGAGGAGAAAAGCAUGAGUGAGGAGGAGCUGGAAAGUUCAAGUGAGACAGAAGAGGAGAGAAGCUCAGUAAAACUGGGCAAGGAAAAAGAUAUCUUAAAAAGAGAACUAUUUAAGCUACAAGAAGAAAGAAGAAAGGACCUACAAAGAAGGAAAAUGGUCCCUUCUAUUGGAGAAAGACCCAUUGGGGUCAAAGGCAGUGGUAUAAAACUGGGAGUUUUAAAAGUCCCUUCCAGACAACCAGUCUCAGUACGUAUGGAUAUGGGAGGGAAGAUACAAAUGCCACUGCCAGUUACACAAACAUUCUUAGAAGAGAAAACCACAGCACUCCAGACAUGGAGUAUAUCCUCAAAGGUACAGUUGAAGGAUAAAGAAAGAGAACUGUUUGAAAAAUGGAAAGACAUGCCUCUACACGUGCUGGAUACAAUUUCAGUGUCCCAAGAGCAGGACAUGAAGACACCAUUCAUGUCCGGCAUAUUCAGGAAAACCAUGGAGGCUCGCAAACUCAAACACAGACUCCCAGAUGCCAGGUGGAAGUGGCUUUUGCAGCAUCAUCCAUCUCUGAUAGGAUACAGUAAGGUACAACCCCCUGUUGCCCGGAUCCUGGUUGACAAACAACAUCCAGAGAUACAGGUAAGCCUCUCAGACACGGAGUGGAUCCACCAGGUCCUAGAACGGAUGGAAGCAGGGGAACAGCUUUCCAGAGACAGCUUCCACAGGUUGUGUCAGCUCCUCAAAGACUUGACUUCAGAGGGAAACUUAGAGUGGCUACGUCCAGCCACACUCGGAACCAUUGUGCACCAUCACUUGCAGGCACUGCAGUCACAAAGCACAAGGGCCACGCAGCCCAGCAGGGAAUUCAUGACUCUGAAACACCGGAAAGUGAUUCCUCCUAUAAAAGGAAAGGAAAAGGAAAGUUGGGAGGAGCCCAUGUGUCUGAAAUACCUGAAAGUGAUUCCUCCUAUAAAAGGAAAAGAAAAGGAAAGUUGGCUAGAACCUUUGACUGUCCCCACACCAAAGUCCCCAUUAGCUGCCAAGACAAUUAUAGACCCAAAGGCUACAAACUGGCAUCUUCUAGGUGAGCCUUACAGGAGUGCACAGAUACAGCAGUUAUCCAAUGCUCUCAGAGAAAUGCAGACACAUUUUCAUCCUGCCACAAGAGACCUGUUCACAGGUGCCCAUGCCUCUGUGGACAAACAAACCCUGGCACUAAUGUUUCAGAAGGACCUUAGGGCUUUUAUGGAUAAGGGCAGAUUUCCCAAAUUGCCCAAGUUGGAGAAGAAAACACAGCCCAUCUUGCAAAAGAAGGAAAAGGUACCUCCAUGGGAGACAUUUGUGGCACUGUACCAUGUUUUGCGGAUGAUGCAACAGCGAUAUGCAAAAGACACUGCUGCUUGGAUGGAACAGUUCCAUCAGCUCAUGGACUUGUACCAGCUCAAGUCCCCCAGAAUCCAGAGGCUGCUACAAGAUCUGCUACUGACAGAGGAAACUCAGCCUGAACAGAUCAUCUAUAAAGAGGCCCUGCCGCCCACAGAGCUAGUACCUGGGGAACGGGUGUUCUACUGCCUGGUUUGUGGUGGCUCUCAUACCCCAAGCACUCUGGGGUUCCAGGAUGUGGUAGCCCUUCCUGGACAGAAUAACGUGCGCACCUUCCUUCCUGUAGGUAUUGCCAAAUACGGAAUCUUAGAACUUGCCUGGAAGAGCCUGCCCCAAGCUGAUACUUGCCUCACCAAGGAAUUUCCCCACAUCAUUGCCACCACUCCCAAAUUUGGGACUGGCUAGAGGUCAGAACUUUUCAUUCCCAACUGGAGAAGGCUCUGCUCAUCAGAAUCUAGAGCUUCAUCUCUAGGGACCAGAUCAAAGCCCUUUCCCUACCCAGCUCUGGAAACCUGUUUCUGUAUGUGAAUAAAGGAGAGGUUCUUUUUUUGCAACAAGUAAGGAACUUUGAUGUGUUCCUUUUCCCAAAAAUUUAUAUUUUAGGAAGGUCACCAGAGAUACAUAUUUCUGUGAGCGGGAAAAUAUCCCAGCAGCCAGUGGUAUUCACUCUGUGAGCUCCUGAAGAGUCUGUCCUUGUCCUCAUCCUUCCUGGUCUUCUACCAUCGCUGUCCCGAAAACAACAGGGAAGAAAGCAACUGUCACAAAACUAAUGUAUAUAGACAUUAAUAUAAGUGGUGGAAUGGAUUUAAGAAUCAGAAGACCUAACAUUUGCAUUUUAGUACCUGGAGGCGUACUGUAGGGAUUGACUCUAAUUCCCUGAUCACAGCUGAGCAUGAUGAUGACUUAAGUCCCAAACAGCAAUUGUGCUGGGUAUUGAGAUCCUUAGAGUAAAGGAAAAAGCCUCAUCACAUUUGACCCAGUACUAUGUGGUGAGUUCAUUGCUGGAUCCCACUAAAGAGGGACGCCAUUUGAGGUUAAAGCAGGAAGAAAAUGAGAAGACCCUAUGCUUUUCAUUGCCUUUGCUAUGAGAGAGUGACAUGGGGCUUGACAGAAUGAUGGAAUAAGAAUUAAGAAGACUAAGUAUAGACUCAAAUAAGUCCCAGUUGUCUAGGAAUUUAUAACCGUUCCUUCCAACAAAUAAAGAUAUAAGAUUUAAAAGAAAAAAUGUAGUACCAUAGAGGAAGCUUUCAUUGCCAGUAAUCCUGUUCUCUCCUUACCAUGGAGUCUUCAGAAUGGCCUCUUUCCAGGGAAGCUCAGGCUUCCAAAUGCUUCUAGGGAGUGCCUCAUCUCUGCCACUUCCCAUUCUCUGCCACAACCUCUAUUUUGCUAUUCUAAUACUUGCAUCUUUGGAUGUAUUUUCCUGUGGGAGGAAGCAGGGGAUAGAGGACAGCAAAACAGUCUGAGAAGUUAGAGUCAUCUCAAAGGCCAAAAGCAAUGAGAGCUGUGACUCUGCAGUUGCGCUCUUCCAUGUUAGAGUGUAUAUCAGGCCACAUAGCUUGGAGCAGGAAGCCUCAAAAAGGAUGACUGACCUGACAGCCAGUCAAGGCAGUGAAAGUAAAGAUAGCCCAGCUUGCUCAGUAGCCUUGACCUGAGUCACUUCUCUGUUUUGGCCUCUGUUUAUUUGUCUGUCAAAAAAGGAAUAAUGCUCACUACAAAUAUUAGGCAUGAAAGAAGGAACACCACUACAGAACCUACAGAUGCUUAAAAGGAUAAGACUGCUAUUUUAAAAACUCUUAUGCCUAUAAAUUUGACAGCAUAGAUGAAAUGAGUAAACUCUUUGAAAAACCCUGAAGCAAAUAGCAAUACCUAGCUAAUUCAUUUGUUGGAUAGACCAUCCACAUUCCAAUUUUUUGACUGACCUAAUAAUGCCCUUAUAGCCUUCUUUUCCUUCCAUUACAAGAGUCAGUCUAAAGUCAGGUUAUCAGGGGCUCCUCUGGUAAAUCCACAAAACCUAGUGAACUGUCUGUUGUGAUCCCAGAGUCAAAAAGAAUAUGGAUGACCCUUCAGGGAGCCUCAGAAGCUAGGUACUUGCUGUGAAAAUCCAGUUUUUUAUUUGUUUUGUUUUGUUUUUGAGACAGGUUCUCGCUAUACCAUUCAGGCUGCCCUUGAAUUCACUAUGUAGCCCCAACACUAACCUCCAACUCAGGGCAAUCCUCUUGCCUCAGACACCUGAGUUUUAGAAUUACAGGUGUGUAUCACCAUGCUCAGCCUAACAAUCCAGAUAUGGCAAAGAGAAGUCAUUCAUUUGUAUUUUCUGUUAUGAAAAUUUGGGGGCUGGAGAUGUAGCUCAGUCAUAGAGCAUGAUGAAAGGAAAGGAAUGACUUUUUUUGUUGUUGGUGUUUUUGAAACAGGGUCCCCCUAUGCAGUUCAGGCCGCCCUCGAAUUUACUAUGUAGCCCCUACACUAGUGUCCCACUCACAGCAAUCUUCCUGCCUCAACCGCCUGAGUGCUAGGAUUACAAGUGUGUACCAUACCACACCCGCAAGUACUUUUUAAAAAGGGAAAUUCAGAGGUAGUAAAUCUGAAAUUCAGGAAUAAUUCAGUGAAUGGGGCUUGGAAACAAUUCUAUUUCUAGAAUUAUGAUCAACCUAAUAGUAUAUCAUUCUACUGUAAACUGUCUAGAAAUGUUGAACAAAACAUAAUCAUCCUUUCAAAUAUGAAGUUGGGCUGAGCUGAUAAUAAGAUCAGCAACCAAAUACGAAGUGAGAAAUAAAAUUAAAUGGUAGGUCUUGGGCUAGAGGUGUAGCUCAGUAAUAAAAGUAGAUGCUUAGCGUGAGUAAGGCUCUAGGUUCAACCCCCAGCACCAAAAACAAAUAAAACACACAAGUGGUUCGUUUGUGAUCUAUUGUUAAGGCAAUGGGGCAAAGAACAUGAUUUUUUGGCUGUAGUAAUUUAGGAGACUGGGUCUUUAUACCCAAGUGAGGACAGGAUAAAAGUUUUGAACCAGAACCAAAUGAGUGGCUGUACUUCUGAAUAAAGAGGUGAAUAAUAUGAUAAGGUAGAUAAUCCAGAAUAGAAUCUGUCCACCUGGCUAUGGUAUGUGGGAUAUCUGGAAUAGGAAAAACAAGGUGCUUUCUAAAGAUUCUUAGGCAUGAGUUUGCAUUUAUCCCAUAAAAUAUUGGGACCCCAAACCAAGAUGUUAACAUAAAAAUUGUCUUGAACCAUUGAUAUUUCUGAAGCGCUUUGCAGAAGCAAUCAUAAAAUCUUUCUAUAAGCACUGGCUCUCCACACAGGAUUUUCAAAUAUAAAACUCAAAACAAGAUCACAAAUUACAGCUCAAAUUUUUUGUCACAAGAUAUACCAAAUAGCAAGACUAGACCCACAGAUCUUCAGAGACCAGAAUUAUCAGAUAUAGACUUUAAAAUAAUUGUGCUAAAAAACAUACACACCCACUAACACAAAGAAAAAGUUCAAGGCAGAUCUGAAAAGAGCCAAAUAAGCCAGACACAAUGGGGCACAUACCUAUAAGAACCAGCCUGGGUAACUUAGUGAGAUACUGUCUCAAAAUUUAAAAAAGCCUUAAAAGGACUGGGGUUGUGGCUCAGUGAUAGAAUACUUGCCUAUGGGCCAUGUGGGCCAGGUCCUUAGG
RNAcentral lists this long non-coding RNA (9082 nucleotides) under Chinchilla lanigera (long-tailed chinchilla). RNAcentral's name for it is "lncRNA (ENSCLAG00000027774.1)". Lineage: Eukaryota; Metazoa; Chordata; Mammalia; Rodentia; Chinchillidae. The record is from RNAcentral.